UCCGUAGGCGGGCGAUUAAGUCAGAAGGUGAAAUCCCACAGCUCAACUGUGGAACUGUCUUUGAUACUGGUUGUCUUGAGUUACAGUGAAGUAGAUAGAAUAUGUAGUGUGGCGGUGAAAUGCAUAGAUAUUACAUAGAAUACCGAUUGCGAAGGCAGUCUACUAACUGUGAACUGACGCUAAGGGACGAAAGCGGUGGGGAGCGAACA
This 209-nucleotide ribosomal RNA is filed under the name uncultured bacterium. Its description in RNAcentral is "partial 16S ribosomal RNA". It matches the Rfam family "Bacterial small subunit ribosomal RNA", at positions 568 to 774 of the family's 1533-position model. The record is from RNAcentral.